RNA transcript from Photinus pyralis (common eastern firefly), 1923 nucleotides. It is a transcript of the gene named serine protease inhibitor 3/4-like, with no coding region annotated. The transcript is spliced from 6 exons. The record is from RefSeq and is a predicted model, not a curated record. Lineage: Eukaryota; Metazoa; Arthropoda; Insecta; Coleoptera; Lampyridae.
UUAUUUUUGUUGACGGUUACAUAACCUUGCUGUUGAAGGUCACUAAUUAUGCAAUAUUUUAACCAACUGUGAGCCUGUGUUUAUGAUCAGUACAAUCUUUCGUAAAUGUAACGGUUACUCAUCGAUAAUUUUGGAUGAUUCACUUCUAAAAAUCGGUGCGUUCCGUUUGUUCAUUCUGUUACUUCUGCUACAAAUAAUGGCCGAUUCAGAACUACUACAAGUUGUGACGGGCAAUUCGAAGUUUGCCAAUAAGUUUUACAAUAUUCUCGCCGAAGAGGAAAAGGGGAAAAAUGUCUUCUUUUCUCCAAUUAGUGCACAUAUUGUACUCAGCAUGGCCUAUCAGGGUGCCGCAGGAACUACCGCCGACGCCUUUUCGAGCAGCCUGCACCUCGGCAACGAAAAUAUAGCGGCAACUGGCUACCAUCACGUAAUGAGCUCGCUGAAUAGCAUAAAAGACGUCAAGUUACACAUUGCGAAUAAGAUCUAUGUUAUGCAAGGCUUUCCCUUAAAAGAAAAAUUUUUAAAAAGCGCAAGUGAGUUAUUCCUUUCUGAAACUGAGUCGCUCAACUUCGCUGAAAGUGAGAAUAGUGCUAGAAAAAUCAACGGUUGGGUUGAAGGCAAAACAAAUUCGAAAAUCAAAGAUUUAAUCGAUGCGGGUUGUUUGGACGCAUUGACCCGACUCGUACUUGUUAACGCAAUUUAUUUCAAAGGCAAUUGGGCCCAACAAUUCAAAAAAGAACACACUAUGAAAGAGAAGUUUUAUAUAUCUGAAGCAGAAAGUGUUGACUGCCACAUGAUGCACCUCACUAGGCGUUUUAGGUAUCGCGCUGAUGAUCACUUACAAGCGCAAAUUCUAGAAAUGAAAUAUACAAACGAGAAUAUCAGCAUGGUUAUAAUUUUGCCUUUUAAACGAACUGGGAUCGAAGAAUUGGAGAAAAAAUUGGUAGAUGUUGAUUUUGCAACUCUUUCGGAGGGUAUGCGAAGUAUGGAAGUUGAGGUUUCCUUGCCGAAAUUUAAAGUUGAAACUACUAUGGAUUUGCAGUCUAUUUUAACACGGAUGGGUCUCGGAGUGAUUUUUGAUCAAAUGAAGGCAAACUUUUCCGAGAUUUCCAACAGCGAUGAGCAGCUAUACGUCAGCAAGGCCAUUCAGAAAGCAUUUAUUGAGGUCAACGAAGAAGGAGCCGAGGCUGCUGCAGCUACCGGUUUAGUGAAGAGAGCGAAAUGCAGUGAUCCUCCGCCAAUACAAAGAAUAAGUUUUAUCGCUGAUCAUCCUUUUAUUGCUACAAUUUCGUCAUGCCUAUCGGAUUCCAUUCUUCCACUGUUUUGGGGCAGGAUAAUGGAACCUGAUUACAUGGAGAGCAAUUAGCGCCCAACUGUUAAACGACCACCAGAUGGUGUACUUGAAAGCAAAGCAAGUUGUGUUAUAUGUAUGGUCAUUAGCAUGAGAUGCGCUCUUCGCAUGCAGCCUCAAAAAAUUAGCUUUAUUGCAGACCAUCCAUUUUUUGUGAUCCUGCAAUCAGAUUGUGAACCAGCGCUUAUAACAUUGUUUUGUGGGAAAAUAGUGACCCCAACGUGCUAGAAAUUGGAUUGUAGUAAUAGCAUCCAUUGUAGUAAUAGCAUCCACCAACCAAUAAGUUGUUUACCCAGCUCCGUGUAACAGAAUUAACAAGCAACCUUUCUACAGGAUUAUUAGUUAUGCGGUAUAUUCUUUACUAAUGGGUUUCCACAUCUAUGCAAAUGCUUCAUAUUAUAUUGAUUGUUACUCCUCAUGCUGGUACGAGGUGUCAUCAUGGCUUUCAAGUGUGCACGUCCCAUGAAUCUACCAAAAGUUAGCUUUAUUGUGGACCAUCCAUUCUUUGUCCUUCUACAAUCUGAGUGUGAUCCAGCACCGAUAUCGCUGUUUUGUGGAAGAAUAAUGGAACC